RNAcentral lists this long non-coding RNA (204 nucleotides) under Elaeis guineensis (African oil palm). RNAcentral describes it as "long non-coding RNA (EGUI_LNC057643)". The record is from RNAcentral. Lineage: Eukaryota; Viridiplantae; Streptophyta; Magnoliopsida; Arecales; Arecaceae.
GGUCUACAACUGUUUGUUCCUGUGUGAUGACUAGGAUGUCAAGCAUAUAGUGAAAGGAUAUCUGCCUUAUAAUGUCCUAUGGGCAUCCAUCAACAACUCCCUGAUGCUCCUGAUGAAGUCCAUAUAUCAUCUCAAAUAGCAAUGUUAAUUUAUCAAUUGGAGGAGAGCACUUUUUUUGCUUCUUCAAAACUCGAGAGCUCCUCU